CACGCCGUAAACGAUGUCAACUAGCCGUUGGUCCUAUUUACAGGAUUAGUGGCGCAGCUAACGCAUUAAGUUGACCGCCUGGGGAGUACGGCCGCAAGGUUAAAACUCAAAUGAAUUGAC
This 120-nucleotide ribosomal RNA is filed under the name uncultured bacterium. RNAcentral's name for it is "partial 16S ribosomal RNA". It matches the Rfam family "Bacterial small subunit ribosomal RNA", at positions 796 to 914 of the family's 1533-position model. The record is from RNAcentral.